UACGUAGGGGGCAAGCGUUGUCCGGAAUUAUUGGGCGUAAAGAGCGUGUAGGCGGUCCGAUAAGUCGGCUGUGAAAGUCCAGGGCUCAACCCUGGAAAGCCGGCCGAUACUGUCGGACUAGAGUCCGGAAGAGGCAAGUGGAAUUCCCGGUGUAGCGGUGAAAUGCGCAGAUAUCGGGAGGAACACCAAUUGCGAAGGCAGCUUGCUGGGACGGUACUGACGCUGAGGCGCGAAAGCGUGGGGAGCAAACAGG
RNAcentral lists this ribosomal RNA (253 nucleotides) under uncultured bacterium. RNAcentral's name for it is "partial 16S ribosomal RNA". It matches the Rfam family "Bacterial small subunit ribosomal RNA", at positions 524 to 776 of the family's 1533-position model. The record is from RNAcentral.